GAUGAACGCUGGCGGCGUGCCUAAUACAUGCAAGUCGAGCGAACAGACGAGGAGCUUGCUCCUCUGACGUUAGCGGCGGACGGGUGAGUAACACGUGGAUAACCUACCUAUAAGACUGGGAUAACUUCGGGAAACCGGAGCUAAUACCGGAUAAUAUAUUGAACCGCAUGGUUCAAUAGUGAAAGACGGUUUUGCUGUCACUUAUAGAUGGAUCCGCGCCGCAUUAGCUAGUUGGUAAGGUAACGGCUUACCAAGGCAACGAUGCGUAGCCGACCUGAGAGGGUGAUCGGCCACACUGGAACUGAGACACGGUCCAGACUCCUACGGAAGGCAGCAGUAGGGAAUCUUCCGCAAGGGGCGAAAGCCUGACGGAGCAACGCCGCGUGAGUGAUGAAGGUCUUCGGAUCGUAGAACUCUGUUAUUAGGGAAGAACAAAUGUGUAAGUAACUAUGCACGUCUUGACGGUACCUAAGCAGAAAGCCACGGCUAACUACGU
This 496-nucleotide ribosomal RNA is filed under the name uncultured bacterium. RNAcentral's name for it is "partial 16S ribosomal RNA". It matches the Rfam family "Bacterial small subunit ribosomal RNA", at positions 28 to 506 of the family's 1533-position model. The record is from RNAcentral.